AUAUUAGAGUUCUUCCAGGAAUUACUAAAAAUAAAAUUACUAUCUUUGGGAAGCAUAAAACUAAAGUCUAGGUAAGAGAAAGACAUGAUAUAAAGUUGAGCUGCUGUUUAUCUUGUUCCUACUACACUAAGUUCUGGAGAUUUAUUUUGAAAACUUACAAAGCACAUGAUGAGUUCCUAGCAUAACAAACUACCUACCACAGCCAUACUUGCUAUAACAUCUUUUACUAUAUUCACAUUGAGUUUGAUCGAGCUGUGUAGACCCUUAGGAGCUUUUCAUGUGAUUAAAUUAAGAUAUUCACUUGCACGCAUCUACCACAGCAUCCACCACCAUUCAUUAAAAUUGCUAAAAAAUAUUAUCACUCACUGUCCCAAGUACUGUUAUUCUCUCUCUCUAAAAAGAUUCAAAGCAGAAGAGGCAUGGGUUAUGCAAAAAUAUAUAUACGAGGAAAUAAAAAGGGGCAAGUGCCCGGGAACCUCGAAAAAGAAAGAAAAAGAGUGAGACGAGAGGUAAAAAUGGACAAGUGUCCGAAGUAGAAUUAGGGGUACAAAGAUGCCCACUUGAGCGGAAAAAAUGGACAAGUGUCCGACAGUAGAAUUAGGGGUAUCUACUACCCACCUGAAAAAAAAGAGAAGAGAAAAAGAUAGCCCAUGUUCUCCCAAAGCAAAGAUCAAAGAGGAGGAGAGAUAGCAAUAUGAGGAGCAAUGAGAACUAAGAUUUAUUAUCACUUAUGCAUUUUCACCAUCACUAUCAUUUACUCCACCAUACAUGCACAUCUUGAUUUAAUUAUAUGCUGAGUUCCUUUGGAUCCAUGGCUCGAUUAGACAACAUAUGUAUGAGCUGUUUUUCACUCCUAUGAGCUCCACUUAAAUAUUUCAUUAGCUAUAGGUAAGUGAUAUCAUGGUAAGGAUCCACAAAUACCACAUAUAGAGAGACUUGAGAGAAUCAUUGCUAGGAACUCUGAGUUUUAUUUUGAAAACUUAUGAAAAACUCUAGAAUAAAGGUGAAGUAUAGACAGGAGGAAUAGUGCUUGACUUAAUUAUUUUGUCUUUCGAUUACUUAAGACUUAAGUGCAGGUACUAAACUUCAUAACACUUCACUCUAAUCUGGAAGAAUUUUUAUGUAAAAGCAUGUGUGCCUGUCAGGAAAGUAAACAUCGAAGCAACUCCUGAUCCGUCUGAGUUUAGCUUUUUGCUCAGGGACGAGCAAAGGGUAAGCUUGGGGGAGUUUGUUGACGGUCCUUAAGUACUAAAAUUAAUAGUCAAAUAAACAUGAAAAAGGAUCAAUAUGAAACAAACAUCUAGAAUAGGGGUUUUAUCUGACAGAAUUCCACGAGCUUUGGUGUUUAUCUAUUUCUGCAGGGGUUUAUCAGAAAAAUAUGGAGAGAAGGCCCACAUGUCAUGUUUACAACGAGAUAAUUACGUGCCGCGCAAUUUUCCUUGAUCUAGAAGGAUCCAGAAGCCACG
This 1466-nucleotide long non-coding RNA is filed under the name Sorghum bicolor (sorghum). RNAcentral describes it as "long non-coding RNA (SBIC_LNC003173)". The record is from RNAcentral. Lineage: Eukaryota; Viridiplantae; Streptophyta; Magnoliopsida; Poales; Poaceae.